UUACCGGAAGGCGCAGUGGAGUGCUGUGAAGAGAGAAUGCCGGAAUGAGUAGCGAGAGUAAGGUGAGAAUCCUUACGGCCGAAUAUCCGAGGUUUCCAGAGUAAAGCUGAUCUGCUCUGGGUAAGUCGGGACCUAAGGCGAGGUCGAAAGACGUAGCUGAUGGACAACAGGUUGAAAUUCCUGUACUACGGUAUGAAAGAAAUGUGGGGACGCAUGUGGAGAGCAUGAGCCGGGAAAGGAAAGACCGGUGCAAGCGGGACAGUAGCCAUGCAGGCAAAUCCGUGUGGCCAUACGAAGACGUGACGCGGACCGAAAUAAAGUAGGGAAGCAUGUGAGCCAUGUGCCAAGAAAAGCCGCUAUAGAUCAUACCGUACCCGUACCGUAAACCGACACAGGUAGAUGAGGAGAGAAUCCUAAGGCCGACGGGAGAAGCAUUGUUAAGGAACUCGGCAAAAUGACCCCGUAACUUCGGGAGAAGGGGUGCCCACGCGAGUGGGCCGCAGAGAAUAGGCUCAAGCAACUGUUUAGCAAAAACACAGGUCUAUGCGAAACCGAAAGGUGAGGUAUAUGGGCUGACGCCUGCCCGGUGCUGGAAGGUUAAGAGGAGGAGUCAGGCAACGAAGCUCCGAAUUUAAGCCCCAGUAAACGGCGGCCGUAACUAUAACGGUCCUAAGGUAGCGAAAUUCCUUGUCGGGUAAGUUCCGACCCGCACGAAAGGCGUAAUGAUUUGAGCACUGUCUCGACAAUGCACCCGGUGAAAUUGAAGUACCAGUGAAGAUGCUGGUUACCUGCGCCAGGACGGAAAGACCCCAUGGAGCUUUACUCCAGUUUGAUACUGGGAUUCGAUACUGAAUGUACAGGAUAGGUGGGAGGCUGAGAAGCGUGGACGCCAGUCUGCGGUGAGCCGCUGUUGGGAUACCACCCUUUGAGUAUUGGAUUUCUAACCUGCGCCCGUGACCCGGGCGGGGGACAAUGUCUGACGGGGAGUUUGACUGGGGCGGUCGCCUCCGAAAGGGUAUCGGAGGCGCCCAAAGGUUCCCUCAGAAUGGUUGGAAACCAUUCGCAGAGUGCAAAGGCAGAAGGGAGCUUGACUGUGACACCGACGGGUGGAGCAGGUACGAAAGUAGGACUUAGUGAUCCGGUGGUAUGAAAGUGGGAUUGCCAUCGCUCAACGGAUAAAAGCUACCCUGGGAUAGCAGGCUUAUCACUCCCAAGAGUUCACAUCGACGGAGUGGUUUGGCACCUCGAUGUCGGCCCAUCGCAUCC
Molecule: ribosomal RNA, 1266 nt
Filed under: metagenome
Description: bacterial LSU rRNA
Rfam family: Bacterial large subunit ribosomal RNA
Source: RNAcentral